Chelonoidis abingdonii (Abingdon island giant tortoise) is the source of this 389-nucleotide long non-coding RNA. RefSeq lists it as uncharacterized. Lineage: Eukaryota; Metazoa; Chordata; Testudines; Testudinidae. The record is from RefSeq and is a predicted model, not a curated record.
CCGCUAGAAGGGGAUGCGCAUGCGGAGUGGGAGGGAGGGAGGAAUUCCGGGGAGGACGCAUGCGCAUUUAUCCUUAUUGUGGUUGGGGAGCGGCAGCCUGUGCUGUGGGUGAGGUAGGAGUCUGGUGUUAGGAGGCAGCUAUGCGGGCUUAUGUGCAAAUGAUAUGGGGAAAUUGCUUUGGUCAGUGAACAAAUACCACAGAAAUCAUAUAAAUCUGAACCUUGUCACAUGAUAUUGACCAGAAGAAAAUAGCCACACUUGUAAAGAAGAUUGCUUGGUAGUUUAUUUACAACAGAAUGUAAGGAAAAAGAUCAAUGGCAAAGUCUGAGAUCUGCUUCCUGCUACUGGAGACCGCACUUAGCAUGAAAGGACAGGGAUAUAGUAAGGGU